Raphanus sativus (radish) is the source of this 1769-nucleotide long non-coding RNA. RefSeq lists it as uncharacterized. The transcript is spliced from 7 exons. The record is from RefSeq and is a predicted model, not a curated record. Lineage: Eukaryota; Viridiplantae; Streptophyta; Magnoliopsida; Brassicales; Brassicaceae.
UAUCAUCUCUUUCCUUUGUCCUCAUCUUCUCCUUUCCUCUUCAUACAUUCACCGUUACUGAGCCUAUUUGUCAUCAAUCAAUGGAGUUCUUCAAUAUCGUCUUAAUGAAUACGUUUCACCUCCUUCUUUUUCUCCUUUUUCAUAUAUUUUUUCCCCUUUCAUAUAUUUUUCCCCCUUUCAUGUCUACAAACCAAAACCCUAUAUUCUGAUCUCUCUUAGAAUCGAUCUUUGAAUUUGAUCAAACAUUUAAGAAUGUUCUCGAAGAACAUCUUUACAACUCUGUUCAGUGUUAUCUCUCAACCUCAUUGACUGAUUAACUGUUUUCUGAACAUGUUUCAGGUUUCCGUUCGACGUCAGAAGUUUACCGGAGAGAUUUUUAAUGGCGAGACCUUUAGUGACAAGAUUCGCAAAUCACUAGGGAUAGAAUUGUUGGUGAAACAAAAAAAAAAACUUGAAGCUUUAACAAGUCUCUGAUUUCAUUAGGGAUAAAAACAUGUGAGUUCACAGAUGUUAAGAGUGAAAUAAUAGACUUUAGCUUUUGGAAUGAAUUUUCAGUAACAGAGCUUCGUGGUGUCUACGACGGUCAAGAUGUCGCCGUGAAGCUGCUUGAUUGGGGUGAGGAAGGGCAUACAUCAGAAGCUGAGAUUGUGUCUUUGAAGGCAGAUUUUGCUCAGGAAGUUGCUGUUUGGCAUAAACUGGACCAUCCAAAUGUUACUAAGUUCAUAGGAGCUACAAUGGGUGCAUCAUGUUUACAACUACAAACAGAGAGUGGUCCACUAGCAAUGCCAAACAGUAUAUGUUGUGUUGUUGUUGAAUAACUUCAAGGUGGUGCUUUGAAAUCCUUCUUGAUCAAGAACAGAAGAAGAAAGUUAGCAUUUAGUGUUGUUGUUCAGCUCGCUCUUGACCUCGCUAGGGGGUUGAGUCACCUUCAUUCAUAGAAGAUUGUUCACCGUGGCGUAAAGUAUUUGUUGAGAAUCUCUGUCUUCUCUGUUUUAAUUUAGAGUUAUGAUAGCUCUAUACGCUCAUAAAUGGCUCGAGUUCAAGCUUCUAGGGACUGCUACAGUUUGCCACACCACCAACUUGUUAAGGAAUUGUUUCUUACUAAAUGGAUUGGGAUGCAGUUGUUGCUGAUCACUAUUCUUGGGUUUCUCAUCAAGCUACUAACAUGUCUGAUCAACUCAUCAGUUUCCACUCCAUGACCAAAAAUCAGCAGGCAUCAUGGGUUUGUAUGCCAUGACUCAGACCGAGACUGUCAGACGAAAAAAACUUAUAUAAAAACCUUCUGGCUCUUGCUUUUUGUUGUUUGUAGGAGUCAAAGCACCUCCAAGAUUAAGAGAUAUAAGGAUCUUUAUUAAACGGACUUUUUAUUAUCACUAGAGCAGCAAGAAGAGAAAUAAUAAGAGCUUUCAAGUGCAGAUAUGGAGAUGGAUGUAAGUCUUGCAUCACAAUAGAGAUUACAAACUGGGAUGAGGAUAGAAAAGGAGUGGGAAAAGACAGAGAGAGUUAUGAAGAGAAAUAAAGAUAUGGGAAUUAAAGAUGAGGAUAAUGAUGAUACUAACAACAAUAGCUACAAAGACAGAGGUACAUUCCCCUUUGCUUGCUUCAUAUGCAAAGAGCCUUUCAUGGCUCUAUUUGUCACCAAAUGCAAGUAUUACUUCUGUGAGGAUUGUAUUUUUUCGGCUUCAUGGUUUAGCUAAGAGAGUCUUCUGCUCAAACACUAAAAGUUAAAUCAUAUUUCAUUAUAAAUUGAAACAGACAUAUUAUAAAUA